This 429-nucleotide ribosomal RNA is filed under the name uncultured bacterium. Its description in RNAcentral is "bacterial SSU rRNA". It matches the Rfam family "Bacterial small subunit ribosomal RNA", at positions 29 to 506 of the family's 1533-position model. The record is from RNAcentral.
ACGAACGCUGGCGGCAGGCCUAACACAUGCAAGUCGAACGCCCCGCAAGGGGAGUGGCAGACGGGUGAGUAACACGUGGGAAUCUUCCUGUUGGUACGGAAUAGCUCAGGGAAACUUGGGGUAAUACCGUAUAAGCCCGAGAGGGGAAAGAUUUAUCGCCGACAGAUGAGCCCGCGUCUGAUUAGCUAGUUGGUGAGGUAAUGGCUCACCAAGGCGACGAUCAGUAGCUGGUCUGAGAGGAUGACCAGCCACACUGGGACUGAGACACGGCCCAGACUCCUACGGGAGGCAGCAGUGGGGAAUAUUGGACAAUGGGCGCAAGCCUGAUCCAGCCAUGCCGCGUGAGUGACGAAGGUCUUCGGAUUGUAAAGCUCUUUUACCAGGGACGAUAAUGACGGUACCUGGAGAAUAAGCCCCGGCUAACUUCGU